Ostrea edulis (European flat oyster) is the source of this 3480-nucleotide long non-coding RNA. RefSeq lists it as uncharacterized. NCBI's taxonomy places the organism in Eukaryota, Metazoa, Mollusca, Bivalvia, Ostreida, Ostreidae. The record is from RefSeq and is a predicted model, not a curated record. The transcript has 4 exons.
UAUACAUAAAUGAUCGCCGGGCUUAAAGGAUGUGUCGCUGAUCAAAUUAUCAAGUUAUCUGGUGGCGCCCAGUUUUUUUUUAUUGGUAGAAGAGAGAGCCCAGACACACCAACGCGAGCAGGAUUCAACCCGCGCCAACCCGAGAAUCACUGGAUCAAUUUCAAAUUUAGCCCAAAGCGCCAUUCAGUAAAAGAGAUACACGUAUAUUCAAAAUGACAAAUGAAGUGUCACCCAGCUUCCAAGGGAGAUAAUUAACAACAAUGCAUUAUCUUGGUACAUGUAUUUCAAGUGAAAAGGUCACAGGGCUUUCUACCAUGCAAGUAGAGAAUCCUUGUGUCUUAUAGUCAUUAAACAGACAAACUCCAUAUCCAGAGAAACCUGUCUACAACCAAGAGGAAAAGAAUCCAUGAAAAUGGGUAAAUAUUAAUACAGUGUAUACUAUUACAGGUGUGGUUUCAGCUCACCAGAGCUUUUCCGAAAGAAUUUUGUCAUGUUUGUCUGCUACCUUUUCAAAUUAUUGACAUAUUUUUAAAAAUAGAUUUUGCAACUUUAUCCAGUUCACAAUUUUGUAACAAAGCAUCUUUCGAUGCUCAUACUUGACACCAAGUUGCUGAUGAAUUUAUGGUAGGUCACGAUCCUCGCACAGUGCCAUCAUCAGAGGCGAAUCAAGGAAUUUUUGAAAGGGGUUCUACCAUUAAUUUUGGUAUUCUAAGGUGGAGGAUCUACCCUCAAAAUGCAUUAUUUUUACCUUUUGAGCUAAAUUUUCUGACGAAAGGGGGCCUCUAAUCGCAGAAACCUCUCCCCUCCCUUGGGAUCCGCUACUAAUCAUAACUUAUGAAUAGUUUGUGACCUAUUUAUAAAUCAUGAUACUAUACCAAGGUCACUUUGAAAAUGUUUUUGUCACAGCUAUGCAUUUAUGAUGAAUAAUGAGGAAUGUAAAUCAUCUUAAUCACCUUGAUAGAACAUGACAAAACAUAUCUCUGACGUUGAAAUAAAAAAUAUGCUAGAAUUCCUCAUUGACAAUAUAUUCGUGGUCUUUGGUGAUCAGGUCUUCCAACAAUCUGUUGGAAUUCCGUUGGGCACGAAUUGUGUUCCUUUGUUAGCUGACAUGUUUCUAUAUUCAUAUGAAGCAAAAUUUAUUCAAAAACUUAUACAUGAGAAGAACAAAUCUCUUGCUCUGGCCUUCAAUUCGACAUUUAGAUAUAUCGACGACGUAAUAAUUUUCAUUCAUAUGUCGAUUCGAUAUAUCCCUGUGAGCUCGAAAUAAAAGACACCACAGAGUCGUCCAUUUCUGCUUCAUACUUAGAUAUUUUAUUGAAAGUAGACAUUAACGGGAAACUGACAACUCAACUGUAUGACAAACGGGAUGAUUUCAGCUUCUCCAUCGUCAACUUCCCAUAUUUAUGUAGCAAUAUUCCAUUAUCACCUGCAUAUGGUGUUUCUAUCUCUCAACUGAUUUGAUACGCAAGAGCUUGUUCUGCGAAUAGUCAGUUUUUAAAUCGAGGCAAGCUACUUACAAACAAGUUGAUGGUACAGGGGUUUUAACAGUCUCGACAGAAGUCAGCAUUUCACAAAUUCCAUGGUCGUUAUAACGAUCUAGUUUGUCAAUACAACCUAGCAUUGGGUCAAAUGCUGUCUGACGUGUUUCAUAGCGAUUGUUAGGCCGUUCUUGACACACUGAUUUUGACUACGGAUAACUCCGUUUACCUGAUCAGGAUAUAGGACUCACGACGGGUGUGACCGGUCGACUAGGGAUGCUUACUCCUCCUAGACACCUGAUCCCAUCUCUGGUGUGUCUAGGGAUCCGUGUUUGCCCAACUCUCUAUUCUGCAUUGCUUAUAGGAGUUAUGAGAUUGAUCACUGUUCCUUAUCUUCACCUUUCAUCUCAUGGUUUCCACAUCAAAAAUUGUAAUAAAGAAUACAUGGAAUAAAUAUUUUAAAAUCUUCUCAAGAACCAAUUAUCUGUCAGUGAUUUACAUUUUUAUUCGUCUCCAGAACUAUUUUGCGUAUCCUCAACUUUAACUUUGGUCAGAUUUUAAAUUUCACCUGGUAUAAACUUCAUACCUGGUAAACAGAUAGGCCAGUCAGUGUAUGACUGCUAAAAGUCAAUGUGACCAAUUUUGGCAUAUGUUGAUAAGCUUUAGGGCAUUGUACAUAAUUUUAACUCAUAAAAUGAUUUAAAAAUCAUUACAAAUUUCUAGCAAUGAUUUGUUAAUCUAAUUGUUAGUUUUUCCAACCAAAUAUAUUCCAUAUUCAUGUAGGUGAUUGAAUUCAUUUUUGUGUUGGGUGCGAAUGUGAUUUUAUAAUAUAAAACUGUAUGACACAAUUGAUGCUCAAGUUAUAUUAAGGUCACAUGUGAAUAUUCUGACAAAUAUGGUAAAUCGUAACUCGUAUUUAUUUUCUCUCUCUCCCAAUGAAAAUUAUAGAUUAUAUCAUUGUCAAUGUGUUGUUGAUUUUAAAUUCAAAUAAAGUGGAUAGUGUUUCACAUUGAAAUUCAUGUUGCUAACUAGGUCUUAUUCCAGAGAGAUACGUUGUUUUUGUACAUUCUGUCAGUCUGUUCGUCUGUCUGUCACAAAAAUGUUGUGAUUGUCUCUCCUAAAUGGCCUAGUGGAGAACCUUGGAAACUGUGUACAAUGUUUCAUUGUCAUUGGUAGAUGUACAUACUGUCAGGACAUGAAGAUACAAUUAUUUUCUUAAAAGGUAUAGUGAAUCUAAGAGGGAUGGAGGGUGUAUAAUAGUUUGUGAACACUUCCCCUCCUAUAUUGCUUAACUUAUAUGCUUGAAACUUUGUUCAAUACUUCAUUGUUAUUUGUAGAUACAUGUAUGCAUAUUGUCAGGAAAUGAGGAUCCAAUUAUUUGCCUCAAAGUUAUCUAUUGGAUCUGAGAUGGACAGAUAGUGGAUCUAAGAGGGACAGAUGGUUUAAAAUAACUUGUUAAUGUGAACACAUUUACUCCUGUAUGACUUGUCGGAUAGCUUUGAAAUUUAGAAAAAUAUUUCAACAUCAUUUAAUUUGAUGAUGUUCACACUGUUCUGAACCAGGAAUAAUAAUAUUUUCCUACAAUUUACAAUGGGUCAAAGAGGAGUGUGUUAUAUAAUUGUUGGGUUUUUUUUUUUAAUAUAGAGGGGUAUAUAUUCACUUUCAAACUCGUACUUCAGCAUAACAGUCCUUGUUUUUUGCAUCAUACUGACUGUUAUGCUGUUCUUGACACACUGAUUUUGACUACGGAUAACUCCGUUUACCUGAUCAGGAUAUAGGGCUCACGGCGGGUGUGACCGGUCAACAGGGGAUGCUUACUCCUCCUAGGUAUCUGAUCCCACCUCAGGUAUGUCCAGGGUCUGUGUUUGCCCAACUCUCUAUUAUGCAUUGCUUAUAGGAGUUACGAGAUUGAUCACUGUUCCUUAUCUUCACCUUUCAUUAUUUUUGUCUUUUUCAGAAUCAAAGGAAAAGGAUGAACAAAGUUCUUCUGAAAUAGAGUAUU